UACGGGGGGGGCAAGCGUUGUUCGGAAUUACUGGGCGUAAAGGGCUCGUAGGUGGCCAACUAAGUCAGACGUGAAAUCCCUCAGCUUAACUGGGGAACUGCGUCUGAUACUGGAUGGCUUGAGAUUGGGAGAGGGAUGCGGAAUUCCAGGUGUAGCGGUGAAAUGCGUAGAUAUCGUGAGGAACACCAGAGGCGAAGGCGGUUACCUGGACAAUUACUGACGCUCAGGCACGAAAGCAUGGGGAGCAAAAGGG
Molecule: ribosomal RNA, 253 nt
Filed under: uncultured bacterium
Lineage: Bacteria
Description: partial 16S ribosomal RNA
Rfam family: Bacterial small subunit ribosomal RNA
Source: RNAcentral